GACGAACGCUGGCGGCAUGCUUAACACAUGCAAGUCGAACGGAAAGGCCCUGCUUUUGUGGGGUGCUCGAGUGGCGAACGGGUGAGUAACACGUGAGUAACCUGCCCUUGACUUUGGGAUAACUUCAGGAAACUGGGGCUAAUACCGGAUAGGAGCUCCUGCUGCAUGGUGGGGGUUGGAAAGUUUCGGCGGUUGGGGAUGGACUCGCGGCUUGUCAGCUUGUUGGUGGGGUAGUGGCUUACCAAGGCUUUGACGGGUAGCCGGCCUGAGAGGGUGACCGGCCACAUUGGGACUGAGAUACGGCCCAGACUCCUACGGGAGGCAGCAGUGGGGAAUAUUGCACAAUGGGCGGAAGCCUGAUGCAGCAACGCCGCGUGCGGGAUGACGGCCUUCGGGUUGUAAACCGCUUUCGCCUGUGACGAAGCGUGAGUGACGGUAAUGGGUAAAGAAGCACCGGCUAACUACGUG
RNAcentral lists this ribosomal RNA (468 nucleotides) under uncultured bacterium. RNAcentral describes it as "partial 16S ribosomal RNA". It matches the Rfam family "Bacterial small subunit ribosomal RNA", at positions 28 to 507 of the family's 1533-position model. The record is from RNAcentral.